Molecule: ribosomal RNA, 490 nt
Filed under: uncultured bacterium
Lineage: Bacteria
Description: partial 16S ribosomal RNA
Rfam family: Bacterial small subunit ribosomal RNA
Source: RNAcentral
AUUGAACGCUGGCGGCAGGCCUAACACAUGCAAGUCGAACGGUAACAGGAAACAGCUUGCUGUUUCGCUGACGAGUGGCGGACGGGUGAGUAAUGUCUGGGAAACUUCCUGAUGGAGGGGGAUAACUACUGGAAACGGUAGCUAAUACCGCAUAACGUCGCAAGCCCAAAGAGGGGGACCUUCGGGCCUCUUGCCAUCGGAUGUGCCCAGAUGGGAUUAGCUAGUAGGUGGGGUAACGGCUCACCUAGGCGACGAUCCCUAGCUGGGCUGAGAGGAUGACCAGCCACAAUGGAACUGAGACACGGUCCAGACUCCUACGGGAGGCAGCAGUGGGGAAUAUUGCACAAUGGGCGCAAGCAUGAUGCAGCCAUGCCGCGUGUAUGAAGAAGGACUUCGGGUUGUAAAGUACUUUCAGCGGGGAUGAAGGGAGUAAAGUUAAUACCUUUGCUCAUUGACGUUACCCGCAGAAGAAGCACCGGCUAACUCCGUG